RNAcentral lists this small RNA (183 nucleotides) under Arabidopsis thaliana (thale cress). Its description in RNAcentral is "ATSL044030". The record is from RNAcentral. Lineage: Eukaryota; Viridiplantae; Streptophyta; Magnoliopsida; Brassicales; Brassicaceae.
AAAAAUAUAGAAAGAGUGAUGGUUGAAGUUCUUACUUAUGAUAGGUUCAUAUGUUAAAUUAAUUACUAACUAUAUUUUACUUAUUUUAAGAAGUUUAGGUGGUAAGCUCUCAUGUGCUGAUCUGAGUUGUGGGAGAGAGUUGAGCUACUUUCAUAUAUAUGAUUAGGGUAAAACUCUUUUGGU